CCUACGGGUGACAGCAGUGAGGAAUAUUGGUCAAUGGGCGCUAGCCUGAACCAGCCAAGUAGCGUGAAGGAUGACUGCCCUAUGGGUUGUAACCUUCUUUUAUAUGGGAAUAAAGUGCAGUAUGUAUACUGCUUUGCAUGUACCUUAUGAAUAAGGAUCGGCUAACUCCGUGCCAGCAGCCGCGGUAAUACGGAGGAUCCGAGCGUUAUCCGGAUUUAUUGGGUUAAAAGGGAGCGUAGGCGGGUUGUUAAGUCAGUUGUGAAAGUUUGCGGCUCAACCGUAAAAUUGCAGUUGAUACUGGAAUCCUUGAGGAAAGAAGAGGUAGGCGGAAUUCGGGGUGUAGCGGUGAAAUGCUUAGAUAUCACGGAGAACUCCGAUUGCGAGGGCAGCCGGCUGGACGGAAACUGACGCUGAUGCUCGAAAGUGUGGGUAUCAAACAGGAUUAGAUACCCGUGUAGU
This 459-nucleotide ribosomal RNA is filed under the name uncultured bacterium. RNAcentral's name for it is "partial 16S ribosomal RNA". It matches the Rfam family "Bacterial small subunit ribosomal RNA", at positions 338 to 794 of the family's 1533-position model. The record is from RNAcentral.